CACGUAGGGGGCAAGCGUUGUCCGGAUUUAUUGGGCGUAAAGCGCGUGUAGGUGGCCAAGUAGGUCCGCUGUGAAAACUUGAGGCUCAACCUCAAGCUGUCGGUGGAAACCCCUUGGCUAGAGUCCGGAAGAGGAGAGUGGAAUUCCUGGUGUAGCGGUGAAAUGCGCAGAUAUCAGGAAGAACACCAAUGGCGAAGGCAGCUCUCUGGGACGGUACUGACACUGAGACGCGAAAGCGUGGGGAGCGAACAGG
This 253-nucleotide ribosomal RNA is filed under the name uncultured bacterium. RNAcentral describes it as "partial 16S ribosomal RNA". It matches the Rfam family "Bacterial small subunit ribosomal RNA", at positions 524 to 776 of the family's 1533-position model. The record is from RNAcentral.